UGCCUUUUGUGGAAUGGAAUGAUGCAACAAGUGUGGGCCUGGGCCAGCAUCAUGAGCAGCUUCUAAGAACUUGUCGGAAAGGCUAAAUCUGAGUCCACACCCCACCCCUGUGGAUUUGUAACCCAGUCUGCUGUGUUGUACCAGGUCCUCCAGAAUGACUGCCGUGCCGGGCCCAGGGCAGUCAGCGUGCAAAGACAGCUGAGGGAUUGCACAGGUGCAGGUUGACACCUGACUGCAGGAUCUUCAGCGACAGACUUGAGGAGUAAGGCAUCUUCUCAUCCCACUGAGGAGGUCUUACAAGUGUUUGGACAAGUCGUUCAUUCAUUCUUCAUUCAACUGAUACUUAUGAGCACCUGCUGUGCUGGUCACUCAGAUGCCGCAGUAAACAUCCCACACCAGCUCAGGCAGAGGGCGGAUCUCGAGACCAGAUUGCCACUGUCUGUCUCUUUUAUCAAACUUACUAAUAGAAACAUACACUAUUAUGCUGUCUAGAGACAACUCUGCUGCUUGCCUCUGACAUCAGUUCUGCAGUUUCAUGUUUACUGAAGUUCCAAGCACUAGUGAUGCAACUGAUGAAGGAAAAACAGCCUCACGAAGCUAUUUAUUUUCUAGUGGAGAGACACAGAGGUUGCCACGCCAGGUGGAGGCCUGUCAAAAGAAAACUGGAACCUGUGAAGAAUUCAACAGGUUUUCAAACUGGCCACACCACCACGAAGAGAGGAUGCCAGCUCAGCCUCCACGUGCCUGACAGUUGUCCUCAGACUUUUAUUGCUAUCCCAUGGCCGCAAUGGCUGUGGUAGCCUGUUACAGAUGAGGCCCCCUGUGGCCUUCCUCGCUGACGACAGAGGACGUGGCCUUUUGGGGCCUUCCUCUUGCAAAUCAUUGAUGCCACCAUCACACUUUCUGCUUGCGCUUUUCCCACCUGCUCUAACACAAGUGAAUCCGGCAGUCCUGGCCACUGGGUGUUGUUUACAAAAACUGUUUUCCUAAAUCAGUCACCUAGAAGGAGGGUAGCAGGAACAGAGAAGGGAGAGGGCUGGGAGACCCCGUGUGUGCGAGUGUGUGCCCACGUCUAGACCCAUUUUGCAGAAAGAGACAGACUUCUUUGGGGCUGGGGGAGGGCCGGGGAACGGGCAGCAUGGCUCUCCUGCUGUUCCUCCACUAUGCUCCUGCACGGGGCCUAAGCACAGUGCAUCUACACCGGCCCCCUCACCUUGGGGUACAUUCCAAGACCUCCGCAAGAUGCCUGAGCACCAAACCUUAGUAUAUAUUACAUUUUUCCUUCCACAUGCAUGCCUAGGAUAAGGCUUAAUUUAUAAGUUAGGUAUGGAAAAGAUAUUAACAACGCACAAUACAACAAUUGCAAUCAUAUAAUAUAAUAAGAAUUAUUUAAAACUUAUGACUUAAGUCUAAGUCUCCCAGUCCUGUGCUCCUCAUGUUCCUCAAGCCACCUCCAGGGUCUGCCAGCAGCCUGAACAUACCCCAUUUGGAGUGGUCAGGGUUUGGAGCUCCCUGCAGCUUUUAACCCCGUUUAAACUCUAUUUCAAAAUCUGAAAAAAAAAAAAAGAAAGAAAGAAAGAAAUCUGCAUAUUUAAGCAACAACUUGUCUGGGGGCAUCCAGAGGAUGGCCUUUCUUAACCUUCUUCUGAAUCUGCGUCUAUCUGGUGGAGGAGGGAGGAGGGACCAGGAACAAGAGGAGGAACCAGCAGAGAAUUUUCCCAGUUUCCCAGUAGAUGAGGCCAAGACUCAGGAAGCCAGAGACAAAUUCAUGACUUUCUUGGCAUUCUGUACCUUUGCCAAGUCCUUGCCCUUUGCUCUCACUAUUUCCAGGGGUUGGUUUCCAGUGUAGGCUGAGGAAGUGUCUGUGUGGAGAGCUGGAGCAGGACCUGCUUCGAAGAAGGAGGGUGUUUCCACCAAAAGCCGGCCCUGGGGGUCACAGUAACUGGCCCAGAGCAAGAAGUGCCCUCUGAGUGAAAGAAUGAUUUAUCAGCUCAAGAACCUCCUGGAGAUUGUGGCUUCCGCUGCAACAGCCAGCUAUGGUUUUGCUGCUAAGUAGUUCUGGGUUCAAAUCCCACCUUCGCUUCUAGCAGAGAGGUCUUGGGGGAGUCUCCCACCAAAGGAUCGGUCGUCUCACAAAUGAAAUAGGAAUGCAGACUAGUACCCACCCUCUGGAGUGUUCGGAGGUUUUCAUGAAUGAUGUGGAAGAGCUAAGGGUGGCUAUAUUAGUAGAGGCUUAGGGGCGGCUGGGAAGUGAGAGGACAAGAAAGGUGGCUUUGCUUGUCCUGAAAAGACAGUAACAAAAACCAGGGGCGGAUUCAGCCAUGAAGCAGUUUGCAAGGACUUCUGUAAAUAGCCCAUAUGCUGGCUCUGAGAAACUACUUUGAAAAGCAUACAAGCCAUAAAAUAGCACCAGUAUUUUUUCCCCAGUGUGAGCAAAAAUAUUCACGCAGGAAGCCUAAGCCAAUCUUCUGGGAAUAAGACUCUAAAUAUUACUUGUGAGUCACCCCAGAUUCCUUCCAAGAGAAAGACUCCCCCAUCCCUUCACCUAACACCCCCGUCCAUGACACAUUAAGAUUUUAACAUUUCAGCUUUUCCCACCAAACUUCCAGUCCCUCGGCGUGGCCAGAAGAACAGCCUUGUGCGCAGAGAACACGACUCUUGUCUCCAGGUUAGAAUCAGCAAAAAAAAAAAAUAAUAAUUUUUUUAAAAGAGCAAGAUCCACGCAAGUUCCAAGGUAGACACUAGGUGGCGCUAGACCCCGCGUUAUUCAGGCAGCUCAAUCCCUGUCCUUCGCUGGGGCUGGGGAGUUUUUGCAGUGAGGUCCGCUCCUUCCAGAGACUCUGCGCUGAGGUGCGGGGGUGAGGGUUCACUUUAAACCAAAAGCAAAAAGCCAGGCCAGGUCUCGUGUCUGAGGAGCCCCUGGCUUUUCUGCUCACCCAGACCCCGUCAGGAUGUGGCUGGGAGGAAGGAGGUUCUCAGACCUGAGGCUAGAGACCCUGAAGAACUUUGCUGAGCUAUAAACAAUGUUAAGAACAAAUAGCCCUUUUCAAUUUGUGCUCUGCCCUGGGACAGGAAGGAAAAGAACUUUCUUCCUUAGCGGGAGGGUGAGGGGGAGAAAACGCCCAUCCUAGAGGCUCUCGAAGGAGAACAACCAAGCCCAGGUCUUCUCUCCCCCUCCUCAGGCAUGGGGCUGCGGUGCACCCUGACCUCAGUGCGCUGCGUUUCAGGUCCAGCGCUGGCUCAGUGUAAAACACUAUCCUCAGUGUCCCCGGGCAGGUGGGUUGCCGGUUCAAUCUCUUUCUGCCAGGAUUUGGACUGACGUCGCCAUUAAACACCUGUUUAGUCUCUGUAAUGGUUGAUACUGUGUCUACUUGGGAAGUUUAGAAGUUUAACUAAGCCACUCCGCAGUGGGCCACGGUCCUUACUUUGUAAACACCCUCAUCCUGUGCAAGAGGAGGGCACGGAGAUGGUGCGAGUACCACACCGCCCAAGGGUGAAGAGCCCGCUUACAAUAUAAGGGAGGAAGAGAGGCUUGUUCUCCCGUCUUUUUUGCUCUUGCUGCUUUUGCUGUCUUGUGCCGCCUUGAACUGUUACCCCUGUGCCGUGCCACCCUGCCUUGGAGCCAGCUGAUUACAGACUGAAACCUCCACAAACUGUGAGCUAAAUAAACCUUUCC
Chinchilla lanigera (long-tailed chinchilla) is the source of this 3676-nucleotide long non-coding RNA. Lineage: Eukaryota; Metazoa; Chordata; Mammalia; Rodentia; Chinchillidae. The record is from Ensembl.